UAUAUAAAGUCUGACCUGCCCACUGAAAAUUUUAAAUGGCUGCAGUAAUUUGACUGUACAAAGGUAGCAUAAUCAUUAGUUUUUUAAUUAAAAGCUUGUAUGAAAGGUUGGACGAAGUAAAAUCUGUCUCUUUUUAAUAUAAUUAGAAUUUAAUUUUUAAGUAAAAAAGCUUAAAUUUUUAUAAAAGACGAGAAGACCCUAUAGAGUUUAAUAAUUUUAAUAAAAUAUUUAAUUAAGAUUUAUUAAUUUUAUUUAAUUAAAAUUAUUUUAUUGGGGUAAUAAAAAGAUUAAAAAAAUUCUUUUUUUUUAAUACAUUAAUUUAUGAAUAUAUGAUCCAUUUAUAGUGAUUAAAAGAUUAAAUUACCUUAGGGAUAACAGCGUAAUUUUUUUAAAGAGUUCUUAUCGAUAAAAAAGUUUGCGACCUCGAUGUUGGAUUAAAGAUUAAUUUAGGUGUAGAAGUUUAAAUUUUUGGUCUGUUCGACCAUUAAAUCUUUACAUGAUCUGAGUUCAAACCGGUGUAAGCCAGGUUGGUUUCUAUCUUUAUUAAUUUUUUAUAUUUUAGUACGAAAGGACCAAAUAUAAAAUAUAUAAAUAUUUUUAUUUUGAAUAUUAUUAAAUUAGUUAUUUUGGCAGAUUAGUGUAAUGAAUUUAGAAUUCAUUUAUGUAAAUAUUUUACAAAUAAUACUUGUUUAUAAAAGAUAUAAUUAUUUCUUUUAUUUUAAUUAUUUUAUUAAUUAUUUGUGUUUUAGUAGGUGUAGCUUUUUUAACUUUAUUAGAACU
This 780-nucleotide ribosomal RNA is filed under the name Trechisibus antarcticus. RNAcentral describes it as "partial 16S ribosomal RNA". The stretch from base 1 to 565 matches the Rfam family "Bacterial large subunit ribosomal RNA", at positions 1844 to 2925 of the family's 2925-position model. The record is from RNAcentral. Lineage: Eukaryota; Metazoa; Arthropoda; Insecta; Coleoptera; Carabidae.